GCCGUUGUAGCUCAGCGGUAGAGCAGGGCUUUCGUAAAGCCAAGGUCGGGAGUUCAAAUCUCUUCAACGGCACCA
This 75-nucleotide transfer RNA is filed under the name Rhodospirillaceae bacterium. RNAcentral describes it as "tRNA-Thr". It matches the Rfam family "tRNA". Rfam says of the family: Transfer RNA (tRNA) molecules are approximately 80 nucleotides in length. Their secondary structure includes four short double-helical elements and three loops (D, anti-codon, and T loops). RNAcentral also lists the same sequence under 1 other name. The record is from RNAcentral. Lineage: Bacteria; Pseudomonadati; Pseudomonadota; Alphaproteobacteria; Rhodospirillales; Rhodospirillaceae.